AUUGAACGCUGGCGGCAUGCUUUACACAUGCAAGUCGAACGGCAGCGCGGGCUUCGGCCUGGCGGCGAGUGGCGAACGGGUGAGUAAUGCAUCGGAACGUGCCCAGUAGUGGGGGAUAGCCCGGCGAAAGCCGGAUUAAUACCGCAUACGACCUGAGGGUGAAAGCGGGGGACCGAAAGGCCUCGCGCUAUUGGAGCGGCCGAUGUCGGAUUAGCUAGUUGGUGGGGUAAAGGCUUACCAAGGCGACGAUCCGUAGCUGGUCUGAGAGGACGACCAGCCACACUGGGACUGCGACACGGCCCAGACUCCUACGGGAGGCAGCAGUGGGGAAUUUUGGACCAUGGGGGCAACCCUGAUCCAGCCAUGCCGCGUGCGGGAAGAAGGCCUUCGGGUUGUAAACCGCUUUUGUUCGGGAAGAAAUCCUCUGGGCUAAUACCCCGGGGGGAUGACGGUACCGGAAGAAUAAGCACCGGCUAACUACGUG
This 484-nucleotide ribosomal RNA is filed under the name uncultured bacterium. RNAcentral's name for it is "partial 16S ribosomal RNA". It matches the Rfam family "Bacterial small subunit ribosomal RNA", at positions 28 to 507 of the family's 1533-position model. The record is from RNAcentral.